AUUUAAAAUGUAAUUAAAAAUAUUAAAGUAGUAUUAGUGAUGUUCUUGAAACUUAAAAAAUUUGGCGGUAUUUUAGUCUAUUCAGAGGAACCUGUUCUAUAAUCGAUAAUCCACGAUGGACCUUACUUAAAUUUGUAAAUCAGUUUAUAUACCGUCGUUAUUAGAAUAUUUUAUAAGAAUAAUAAUUUUCAUAAAAUUUUAUUGAAAUAUAUAUCAGAUCAAGGUGUAGCUUAUAUUUAAGUAGAAAUGGGUUACAAUAAAUUUAUUUAUACGGAUUUAAAUAUGAAAAAUUUAUUAAAGGUGGAUUUGAUAGUAAAAUUAUAAAGAUAAAUAAUUUGAUUUUAGCUCUAAAAUAUGU
This 358-nucleotide ribosomal RNA is filed under the name Apteromyia sp. JHK-2012. Its description in RNAcentral is "partial 12S ribosomal RNA". The record is from RNAcentral. Lineage: Eukaryota; Metazoa; Arthropoda; Insecta; Diptera; Sphaeroceridae.